This 77-nucleotide transfer RNA is filed under the name Alosa alosa (allis shad). RNAcentral describes it as "tRNA-Arg". It matches the Rfam family "tRNA". Rfam says of the family: Transfer RNA (tRNA) molecules are approximately 80 nucleotides in length. Their secondary structure includes four short double-helical elements and three loops (D, anti-codon, and T loops). The record is from RNAcentral. Lineage: Eukaryota; Metazoa; Chordata; Actinopteri; Clupeiformes; Clupeidae.
GGGCCAGUGGCGCGAAUGGAUAACGCUGGCCUGACCACGGAUCAGGAAGAUUCUAGGUUCGACUCCUGGCUGGCUCG